RNAcentral lists this ribosomal RNA (774 nucleotides) under uncultured Neocallimastigales. RNAcentral's name for it is "partial large subunit ribosomal RNA". It matches the Rfam family "Eukaryotic large subunit ribosomal RNA", at positions 23 to 643 of the family's 3401-position model. Lineage: Eukaryota; Fungi; Neocallimastigomycota; Neocallimastigomycetes; Neocallimastigales. The record is from RNAcentral.
AGAGAUGUGUGAUGACGCAUAUCAAUAAGCGGAGGAAAAGAAACUAACAAGGAUUCCCUUAGUAACGGCGAGUGAAGCGGGAAGAGCUCAAAUUUGAAAUCUUCAAGGUUCUACCUUGACGAAUUGUAGUUUAUAGAAGUGUUUUCUGUUAGUAGAGUGGCAAAAGUUCUUUGGAAUAGGACAUCAUAGAGGGUGAGAAUCCCGUAUUUGGUCAUUCCUCCUAGCGUUGUGAUACACUUUCAACGAGUCGGAUUGUUUGGGAAUGCAGUCCAAAAUGGGUGGUAAAUUUCAUCUAAAGCUAAAUAUUGGCGAGAGACCGAUAGCGAACAAGUACCGUGAGGGAAAGAUGAAAAGAACUUUGAAAAGAGAGUUAAACAGUACGUGAAAUUGUCAAAAGGGAAGCGUUUGACACCAGUGUUGUUUUUCCGAAAAUCAAUUACGAAUGUUUUGUUUUUGAGAAGUUAUGACUUCAUCGGCUUGCUUCUUUCUUUACGAAACUUUCUUAAUGCACUUUUCGGUUAACAAGUCAACAUCAAUUUCUUUUGUUGUAAAAGGGUACGAGGAAGGUGGCUUUCUUUUCGGAGAAAGUGUUUAUAGCCUUGUACCUCUGCAAUCGGAGAGAUUGAGGUCUGCAGCGUAGAUCCUUCGGGGUUAGAUACAUUUGUGCUAAGUUAUAGCUUUUCAUAGACAACUUGUUGACUAUGUUAAGUCUUGUAGCUUACUCGCUUAUGCUAUUUUACCUACGCUUAGGAUGUUGAAGAUGUAGCACAUCAU